UAUGAACGCUGGCGGCGUGCUUAACACAUGCAAGUCGAACGAAGCACUUUGAUAAGCUUGCUUAGAGAAGUGACUGAGUGGCGGACGGGUGAGUAACGCGUGGGUAACCUGCCUCACACAGGGGGAUAACAGUUAGAAAUGACUGCUAAUACCGCAUAAAAUGGCAGUUUCGCAUGAAACAACCAUCAAAGAUUUAUCGGUGUGAGAUGGACCCGCGUCUGAUUAGCUAGUUGGUAAGGUAACGGCUUACCAAGGCGACGAUCAGUAGCCGACCUGAGAGGGUGACCGGCCACAUUGGGACUGAGACACGGCCCAA
Molecule: ribosomal RNA, 316 nt
Filed under: uncultured bacterium
Lineage: Bacteria
Description: bacterial SSU rRNA
Rfam family: Bacterial small subunit ribosomal RNA
Source: RNAcentral